AUAUUGAUUUGGCAGAUUAGUGCAUUAAAUUUAGAAUUUAAAUAUGUAUUUUACAAUCAAUA
RNAcentral lists this transfer RNA (62 nucleotides) under Ptomaphagus barri. RNAcentral's name for it is "tRNA-Leu". Lineage: Eukaryota; Metazoa; Arthropoda; Insecta; Coleoptera; Leiodidae. The record is from RNAcentral.